RNAcentral lists this long non-coding RNA (6207 nucleotides) under Equus caballus (horse). Its description in RNAcentral is "lncRNA (ENSECAG00000057723.1)". Lineage: Eukaryota; Metazoa; Chordata; Mammalia; Perissodactyla; Equidae. The record is from RNAcentral.
GAGAGGCGGUGGCGGGCGGCGGCUGCUGGCCUGCAGCCAGAGGAGGCCGGGAGUUGGCCGGGCCCGAGGCGGGUCUUGUCUCCGGUGGUGGAGCUGCCCCCGGGCCUGCGGUCUCGGGCCCGGCGCACACACCGUGUCCCCGGGGCGCGCGGGGAUGCUGUGUCCUCCGCGGAGCUCGGCCCAGGCGCGGCGGGCACCAGCCGGCCUGCGCCGCUCUCCCCGCCGCCACCAGCGGCUACCUGGCUCUUUCCUUGGCAAUCUCAAAGCAAAUGAUCGUAAAAGGAUAAGGUCUGGGCCAGAGAGAUGGGGCAAGGUGGGAAGCUGUGACUGCCUCGUUAGAACAGAGUGGUGUAGCCCACCUCGAAGCUUCCAACGUUUAACCGAGCUGAGACGAGCGCCUGGCAUGAGGCCCUCAAGUGGGAACAGGGAGCUCUCGAAAGAAUAUGGCCAAUUCCGAAUUUGUGAACAGCUAGGACUCCACUUAGCAAAUUGUUGGCAGUUCUGUAGAAACAAGGUUGUAAUUAGUUGAUUUGUUCAGGACUGUUCACAAAACCUAGGAAACUCAGAAUGUGCCCCUUCCAUUCAAGAAACUUGGAAUACUCAGUUCCAAAAUUUCUGAGGACAGGUGGAUAGAACUCAUCGAAUGAAUCACAUUCCUUGUUUUUGAGGGAUUCAACUUACGAAAUAAUUGGAUUAUUGCAAUGUAAAUUAAGGAUAAAAUACUAUGCCAAAAUCUCCUGGGGCAGAGAGGCAGCAGCAAGAAUGUACAUUUUAAACAAGGUUCGAGGUUAUUCUGCGGUUCACUGCAGUCUCCAAACCACUUGAGAAAGUAAAUGGACAAGAAGAGCAGAUGAGAACUCUAGUUCACAGAGUUGGCGUUUUCAUUGAACUGUACAAAUAAGUAACUAGGGGAAUAUAUAGAGUUACUCAAUUUUUUAUACUUUUAGUUGCCAAAUAAGAUCCUAAAACACCACAAACAUAGAAAUCUCUCAGUUGUCACCAUGAUUUCAUGAAAUAAAGUAGGAAGGAUAUAAUUUCAGAAUUUCAAAAAAUAUAAAUUUAGUUUUAUGAAAGACCAUAUCAUUCUUAGUUUCCUUAAACAGUGAAAACUUUGUUGCAGACAUGCGCAGACUGCUCUAUGGAUCAUUGAACAAAACAAUAUGUUUUUUCCCUAGUGUAUAUAGAGAAUGCAGGAGAUAAUGCUGGUGUGUAAGGAAAGAGGAUUAGUUCUUAAUUUUAGACGUUGAAUUUUAGGGACCUAUGAGAUAAGAAGACAGGCCAUGUAAGGUAAAAAAAAAAAAAAAAAAAAAAAAAACUACAUAACGCUUCAGUCACCUACACAUUUGUAAACCUACCAGUAUUCUCUUUUUGCAGCUUCCCAGAUUAAAUCUGUUCUGUUACCGUUGUAGAAUAUCUUCUAAAUUUUAGUAACUCACCACUGUAAUGAGCCAUUGUGGGUUUCCUAAAGAGCAUUGAUGCUGGUUCUGUGAGAAGGCGUCCAUGCCCUCCUCUUUACACGUGAGCGAACCCCGAAGUACUCUCUUUUGCCUUGAUAAAUUAAUGAAUUGAUAUAAAAUACUAUGAAAAGCAGGUAAAACUGACUAAGCAGAAGAGCCAGUAAAAUUGUCAGACCGUUAGUUAUAUUUUAACAGUAACUAAUCUGAGUAUACAUGUAUCCUUCCCAAAGACAGAAUUCGUUAAUACCACUCUGAGUCAGGUAUUACUAGAAAGGAAGGAAGACAGGAAAUGAAAAAUAAAACGUGGGGGGGAGUAGAAAAAAUUGAUCCAACAAAAAGCUGUCAAUAACAAUCAUGAAGGUUAUCUGUGCAUAGCAAUGAAUAUUCACCUCAUGGUUAAAGGAGAUUCCACCCAUCUUCCUGAGUAGGAGGCAGAGACAAUGGAUGUGAUUGCUAAUUGAAAGAUUUGGGACAAGUGAGUUACUGAAAUGGCUACUACCAAAAUUGUUGUUUGUCUUUAAUUUUACUUAGAAUAGUAUGUCAAGAAAUGUGUACCUGAAGAUGCACAUUGCAUCAUUUCUAAAUGUAGCAGUAGCACAAAACUUAGUAAAAAUGCUUGUGCCUGCUAUUAUUUGUUAGUAGUCUACUGAUGAAAAUAUUAUUGCACAAAUAAUAUAACAUGUAUAUGAAAAUAAAAUGGGAAAAAUCUCAGAAAGAAUUUAUGAAACUAAUAAAAUUUAGAAGAAAUGUGGAGAUAUAGUAAUCCUUAGAAGAAGAGAAUAUAGAAAAAUACAUGAGCUUUUAAUUAGAAAAAUAUAUGAGAUAGAUGCCAGUACUUUCUUUUAAGAAUGGGAGUUUCUAAAAUUACUUGCAUGCUACAUAGAACAAAGUUUCAAAGGACGUAGAUUGCUCUUUCCUGAUAUCAUGUACAUCAUCCUUUAAGCUGGUUUAACUUGAGAAAAAGAGGUAAGAAUUCUAUAAUAAAUUUGACAUAAAAAAUAACUCCAAGGACUAUUUGUACUUUCUCUUUAGAAAACUCUAAAGCUGAAGAUUAUUCUUUGACUAAGGUUAUGAAGUUUGGAGUAGAAGAGCAGAAAAAUGCAAUGUACCUGGGGUGCUACUGAUCAAGAAAGUGAAGGCAUGUUCCUGGCCUCCAGCAGGGCUGAGGGCCCUGUGACACACUCUGAGGCUCCCUGGCCAGGGAUGGAGCAGGGCUGGGAGCCACCCACAGGCAGUGUUUCCUCUGCCAGGUCACAGACACUGGUCCCUGCUCACGCGGGAUCUUACAGUGUCAGAAAGUGUAAUUCCAACUUCUUGUUCACAACAUUGCUUUCUAUUUCAGGGAACUGGACUGUGGGUUUGCCACUAAAAAGGCUGGAGACUCCUGCCCUAGAUCCUUCUUGCCAAUGAAACUUUGGCUCCAAUCAGUGAUGAUGAACUGGGGUUGACCAUUGCCUUUAAAAUCCAUUUUGCAGAGCUUUAAAGGGGAGGGAAGUGAGUUAAGUGAGAUGAUAUGAGUUCUGGUAGAUAAAGACGUAAAAACUACCAAAAAAAAUGAUAUGGAAGCUUAAGUGCAUAAAAAGAGAAACUGUUUAUGAAGAGGCACUAAAUAAACAAACGUAGAAACAUUCAGAAAGAAGAUGGGGUAUUUCAGACACUACUUGGUAGGACAAGCUGCCACCUGAUGUUUCACAUGAGGAUCCUGAGCACUGAGAAAUGCAGAGAAGAAAGACAGAUGACCCUGAGCACCAUGUUCUUCAACUAGGCGGAGUUAACCUGAAAAUGCCUCAGGAUGUUUAACCUCUGUAAUUUAUUUUAAAAUACUAUAUUUAUUUUAGUUGCUAUUCCAUUAGAUGUUCAAAUCAUUUUCACCUAUCCCAAACAUAUUGUGCAGUGACUCAUCAGACAUCUGUGGCAAGUAAAUAUACACAGUGUAUUUUUAGAGUAGCGAAUAUGUGUGUAUGCAUUUAUAGUAUGAGCAAAAUUAAACCUGAUCUGAAAAAAAGUGAAUUUUUCAGCCCUGACCACUACUGUGCCAUUUCAUCUUUAGAACCUACAUUUCCGUGGUAUAAUUUUCAGAUCAUUUCCCACCUUUAAAUGCCAGAAUUAAUGGGAAAUUGUCUUUUUUCUGUGUACUGCUUUGCUGGAGAGGCCCUUCUGCAAUGAACGUUGAAUGCUGUUAAGCCCUAUUUAUGGCUUUAAUAGCUUUGUAUUAAUGAAAAAAUCAGAUACCCUUUAUAUACCCACCUCAGGGGUUCAUGCAGGAGAUGUUCUAUUGAUGUGAAAGAGUCAAAUUGAUUUCUGCCAAAGAUGAGAAAGUAGUAGAAAGGCUCAAACUGCAUGUGGAUAAUGAAAUGGCUUGUUUUAUCACAAAUAUUCUCUGCACAUGUGUUCCACUUCUUUCGUCUAAUGGCUGACCCCUGCUUUUCCUAAAGCUCAAAUUUUGGUGUCUAAACUGUUAUGUGUGUCAACAGAAAGAGGCAAUGAAGAGGAUCUCAGAACAUUUUAGUGAGAAGAGAGCAAAAUGUAGAAAUAUCAUUUCUGCAUUUUGAUUUAUGUGUUCAAGGUUAUUUGGAUAAUUGGAAAGUUUGCUUUUCAGAUGAGUUAGACUUCCUGGAACAAUUAAUCAGGGUCUUAAUUACUGCAUCUGUAAAAAUGAGGUAAGAUGUGCGAGGCUAAGAACCUUCUAGCAUGGAACUGUAGUUUUUUUCCUCUUCCCUUUAAAGUAUCAGGAAUUUCCAAGCCAUCAACAUUUGCUGAAUCUGGCCAUGCAUAGUCUUCAAAAAUAGUGAAUGUUUCAUUUAUUUUCAAAAUACUUUCCAUUUCAGUAGGUUUCCGUGAAGUGAAAACAUUUACCAUAAUGGAUGAAUUUCAUCAGGGAGCUGCUUUAACAGCGUCCUAAAUGAAUAGAGUAAAAGCAUUGCAAAGAUACAGUCAAAAAGAAGUAAGCUUCUUUUUUAAAAAUGUGCUAAAUUUUAAAGCCUGGCCUUAUGCUGCAAAUUGGACAGUAUCCCAGGUAUUUUGUUAAGAGUGAAUACUGUAGAGAAGUCAGAGACAAAAGAUAGAAUCUGGAGUAGAGUCAGCUGGACUAGACCCAGCUAGACUAGAUACCGUGGUAAAAGCAAGACCACCUUGGCCGGCGGGAGGUGGGGGAUGAGGGGGUGGUGUGGAGGUGGAGGUGGAGUUUACAGAGAAACUGACACACAAGCUGGGAGUCAUGGUGCUGCCAAAGCGAAGCCAAUAUUGAUGAAAGGUGCCUGGGGCAAGACAGAGAAUGCAUGAGCCAGAAACUAGUGACUCAGAUUUAAACAUAAGAUCACAGAUGAAACAGAAGCCAACUCAAGUAAGAAAUAACAGGGAGAAAGUGAUAAAUGCCAGCAAGAGCAUGUGGGUGAAACUAAGUUAGAGACGUCUAUCCUGAUUCAUGAAGCCAGGGAGGAGAUCAAAAUUCAGGCAGCAAGUCAUGUGGCAGUUUGUUUUGAUUCAAAUCUAAGUAGUCAUCGCAAUCAAUGAUUAAAUUAGUCGUUCUCAUCAGUUUGUAUGUAUAGACACUUAAGAAUGCUGGGUACUCCAUAUACAGCUGUAAAAUGAAUAAGGAAGAGCUCUAUUAACUGAUGUGAAGUAAUUUUCUGGAUGUAUUUUUAAGUGCAAAAGGACAUCUAUAGUAUGCUGCUUUUCAUAAAGAAGAGUAAAUCAGAAAAUAUCAAUGUAUAUGCUCAUUUGUGCAAAAAAUAAUUGAGUUAAUAAAAUUCAGAAAUGAAUGGGAUGGGUUACCUACAAGGGUGGCAGGGAAGAGAGUGAGAAGAAUGGGGGACUGGGAGGAGGUUAGAAGAGGAGAAAGGGGGAAAGAGAAACUUUGCUGAGUAUACCUUUAUGUGUAGUUCUGCAUCUUAGAAUCAGAGAGAUAUUUCAUAAACAGAACCAAUAAAUAACUAAACUCAAACUGAAUAUGGGGGAAGGACCAAAAAUGGAAUACAAAAAUAACAAAUGAACCUAACUCUAUUAUCAACGAAUAACAGCCUCACUGAAGGGGGUCAGAGAAAAAUAGGCAUAAGUAGCUACAUAAAAAAAUAUUUUGACAAGAUAUUGUAACGCUAAAGAAAAAAACAACUGUAGACAAAUACAAUACUCCAGUUAGUAAAUUCGAUUUUCACUUGGGUAUAGAUUAGCAAUUCUGAAACUGUCUUAUGUGAAUGUAUUUUAUAGAACUAGAUUGUGGGUAGUAAGACUCAGGUUUCUCACAGCAUAUCAGAGAAAGGAGUUACAACAAAUAAGGAAAGGGGAAGGCUAGAAUGAACUCUCUGAUGUUGGAUUAGGACUAGAAAUGUCAGUUGGAACGCAUGGAUUUUAUUAUAAAUAUUGUGAAUAGAUAAGAAAUCUAUCUAGAUGUGUAUGUAUGUGGGUUACUAUACAUGCAUAUAUUUUCUAGCUGUAUUCACUGAGAAGGCAUACCAGCAAUGGCAUCCCAGUAGCAAUGAGAACACUGUGUGCCUAGAUCUUGAUUUCUAUAAGCAGUUCUCCAAGAGCAACAAAAACACUUGAAAAAAAUGCCUGGUUCUAGGGCUAGGGAUUUACUGGGGAAUUACGAGGUGUGUCUGGAAUAUCUUAGAGUGCUGGAAAGUAAGGAAGUGUUAAAACAAAAAAAGGAUAGGGAUCACAGAAGCCAAACAAAGAAGCCCCAAACAGCCAAAACUGGGAUAAUUUGAAGGAAAAAAACCUAAACAAUGAUAAGCAAUGGAUAAUAGCCCCU